This 864-nucleotide ribosomal RNA is filed under the name Hypotrachyna fissicarpa. RNAcentral describes it as "SSU rRNA". It matches the Rfam family "Bacterial small subunit ribosomal RNA", at positions 357 to 1154 of the family's 1533-position model. The record is from RNAcentral. Lineage: Eukaryota; Fungi; Ascomycota; Lecanoromycetes; Lecanorales; Parmeliaceae.
AGGAAUGUAUAGCAAUAGCUAGUUGCAUCGUCAUAAAGAUGAUGCAAGAUUGACUAUGUUGAAUAAAAUUCUAGGUAGAAUUAUGAUAAUGACAUUAUCUGCCUAUGUGUCUUGACCAAAUUACGUGCCAGCAGUCGCGGUAAUACGUAGAAGACUAGUGUUAUUCAUGUUUAAUCGGUUUAAAGGGUACCUAGACGACAGAUCAAGCUUUCCGUGAAGAAAAGAAAUAGAAAAAAGGACUAAUCUGAUUAGAGUUACUUACGAGGGGGCUUUAAAGUACUGGUGGUGUAGAGAUGAAAUUCUGUCAUACCUCUUUCCAAAAGAAAAAUCAUGGCACAGGUAUAGGCGAAGGCAUCCCCCUAUGUGAUAACUGACGUUGAGGGACGAAGGCUUCAUAUAAUGAACAGGAUUAGAUACCCUAGUAGUGGAAGCAGAAAAUGAUGAAUGUCAUAGAUUAGAUGUCUAAGUUUAUUCUAUAAAUGAAAGUGUAAGCAUUCCACCUCAUGAGUAAUUUGGCAACAUUGGAAUUGAAAUCAUUAGACCGUUUCUGAAACCAGUAGUGAAGUAUGUUGUUUAAUUUGAUGAUCCGCAAAAAACCUUACCACAAUUUGAAUAUUUAUAUUAUUUGUUGUAUUGUUCUUAAUUAUCUUUUUAGAUGAAAAUCUCCCACAAUAUCUAGAUAUAGAUUAUAAAAGAGAUAAAUAAUCAGAUAAGAAAAUUAAUAAUGAGGCAAUGAGAUAUAUUUACAAGCGUUGCACGGCUGUCUUCAGUUAAUGUCGCGAGACUUUGGUUAGAUCCAUUAAAUUAACGUAAACCCUUACUUUAUUUUUAUAUAGAGUUGUUCCCCACUAUAUUGGACUCGAU